CAGUCGCCACGGUAAUACAGAGGGUGCGAGCGUUAAUCGGAUUUACUGGGCGUAAAGCGUGCGUAGGCGGCUUUUUAAGUCGGAUGUGAAAUCCCUGAGCUUAACUUAGGAAUUGCAUUCGAUACUGGGAAGCUAGAGUAUGGGAGAGGAUGGUAGAAUUCCAGGUGUAGCGGUGAAAUGCGUAGAGAUCUGGAGGAAUACCGAUGGCGAAGGCAGCCAUCUGGCCUAAUACUGACGCUGAGGUACGAAAGCAUGGGGAGCAAACAGGAUUAGAUACCCGCGUAGUCCCUGUCUCUUAUAA
RNAcentral lists this ribosomal RNA (301 nucleotides) under uncultured bacterium. RNAcentral's name for it is "partial 16S ribosomal RNA". It matches the Rfam family "Bacterial small subunit ribosomal RNA", at positions 509 to 809 of the family's 1533-position model. The record is from RNAcentral.